AUUGAACGCUGGCGGCAUGCCUUACACAUGCAAGUCGAACGGCAGCGGGGACUUCGGUCCGCCGGCGAGUGGCGAACGGGUGAGUAAUGUAUCGGAACGUACCAUUGAGUGGGGGAUAACGUAGCGAAAGUUACGCUAAUACCGCAUAUUCUCUCCGGAGGAAAGCAGGGGACCGCAAGGCCUUGCGCUCUUUGAGCGGCCGAUAUCAGAUUAGCUAGUUGGUGGGGUAAAAGCUCACCAAGGCGACGAUCUGUAGCGGGUCUGAGAGGAUGAUCCGCCACACUGGAACUGAGACACGGUCCAGACUCCUACGGGAGGCAGCAGUGGGGAAUUUUGGACAAUGGGGGCAACCCUGAUCCAGCCAUGCCGCGUGAGUGAAGAAGGCCUUCGGGUUGUAAAGCUCUUUCGGCCGGGAAAAAAUCGCAUGGGUUAAUACCCUGUGUGGAUGAUGGUACCGGAAUAAGAAGCACCGGCUAACUACGUGCCAGCCGCCGCCGUAA
Molecule: ribosomal RNA, 500 nt
Filed under: uncultured bacterium
Lineage: Bacteria
Description: partial 16S ribosomal RNA
Rfam family: Bacterial small subunit ribosomal RNA
Source: RNAcentral